Molecule: unclassified non-coding RNA, 372 nt
Filed under: uncultured Gammaproteobacteria bacterium
Lineage: Bacteria; Pseudomonadati; Pseudomonadota; Gammaproteobacteria
Description: contains 16S-23S intergenic spacer region
Source: RNAcentral
UCCGGUUUGUCACCGGCGGUCUCACUAGAGUGCCCUUUCGUAGCAACUAGUGACAAGGGUUGCGCUCGUUGCGGGACUUAACCCAACAUCUCACGACACGAGCUGACGACAGCCAUGCAGCACCUGUGCGCAGGUUCCCUUUCGGGCACCGGGACAUCUCUGCCCCGUUCCUGCCAUGUCAAGGGUAGGUAAGGUUUUUCGCGUUGCAUCGAAUUAAUCCACAUCAUCCACCGCUUGUGCGGGUCCCCGUCAAUUCCUUUGAGUUUUAAUCUUGCGACCGUACUCCCCAGGCGGUCGACUUCACGCGUUAGCUGCGUUACCGAGCCCGCAAGGACCCGACAACUAGUCGACAUCGUUUAGGGCGUGGACUAC